AAGUCGUAACAAGGUUGCUGUAGGGGAACCUGCGGCAGGAUCACAAGAAAUUUCUGGUGGGUGGGUGUGGUGUGCAAGAAGUGGGAUUGAUUGGAUCGACAGACCGACAUGCAAGUGGAGGUCGUCCGUCAGACCGACCCAGUGCACAUGCACAGCAUCAUACAUACCACGCUUGCUUGCCAAACCAUGAGGAGUCUGCCAACCACAACCAGCUUGUUCUUGGACAGACUCUUUGGUACCCAGUGAAUUGUACUGACCUAGCGGGGCAGAACUUUAGAGCUCAGAACUCUCUGUCUAGAGUUGGACUCCCCGCAGUGGAUCAUCGAUCGAUCGUCGAUCAUCUUAAACUCUUCUUCUCGUGUGUUGCAGCAUCAUCAACAAAACAAAACAAAAUGACAACUUUGAACCACGGAUCUCUUGGCUCUC
This 426-nucleotide unclassified non-coding RNA is filed under the name fungal sp. RNAcentral's name for it is "partial internal transcribed spacer region". The stretch from base 1 to 46 matches the Rfam family "Eukaryotic small subunit ribosomal RNA", at positions 1786 to 1831 of the family's 1831-position model. The record is from RNAcentral. Lineage: Eukaryota; Fungi.